GGGCUACAGCGAACAGGGGGAGGGAGAUAACUCUUAAUCAGUAGGUUCGAGGUUCGAGUCCUCGGCGGCCCACCA
This 75-nucleotide transfer RNA is filed under the name Halorhodospira neutriphila. Its description in RNAcentral is "tRNA-Lys". The record is from RNAcentral. Lineage: Bacteria; Pseudomonadati; Pseudomonadota; Gammaproteobacteria; Chromatiales; Ectothiorhodospiraceae.